GUAACGCGUGGAUAAUCUACCCUCAAGAACCGAGAAUAGCUGCGGGAAACUGGAGGUAAUACCGGGAUAACAUCUUCGAAAUCAAAUGGUGUGAUUCCGCUCGAGGAUCGGACUGCGUACUAUUAGCUUGUGGCGGGGUAAUGGCCCACCAAGGCUGCGAUGGUUACCGGGUGUGAGAGCAUGUCCCGGCUCACUGGGACUGAGACACGCCCAGACACCUACGGGUGGCUGCAGUCGAGAAUCUUUCGGCAAUGGACAAAAAGUCUGACCGAGCGACGCCGCGUGCGGGGAUGAAGGCCCUCGGGGUUGUAAAACCGCUGUCAGUUAGGAGGAAAUCCAUGGGGGGUUAUCCCCUGUGGUUGACCGAUUUUCAGAGGAAGGACGGGCUAAGUUCGUGCCAGCAGCCGCGGUAACACGAACCGUCCAAACGUUAUUCGGUAUCACUGGGCUUAAAGCGUGCGUAGGCGGCUUGGUAGGAGAGAUGUGAAAUCCCACGGCUCAACCGUGGAAUUCCGUUUCAAACCCCCAAGCUCGAGGAAGAUAGGGGUAAUGGGAACUUCUGGUGAGCGGUAAAUGCGUUGAUAUCAUAGGGACACCAUGGCGAAGGCGCAUCACUGGAUCUUUUCUGACGCUAGGCACGUGGGCUAGGGUAGCGAACGGGAUUAAUACCCCGGUACUCCUAGCCGUGACGAUGAACACUGGGUUGAGGGCACCUCCACCUCCUCUCUGCCGUAGCGAAAGCGUUAAGUGUUCCGCCUGGGG
This 762-nucleotide ribosomal RNA is filed under the name uncultured bacterium. Its description in RNAcentral is "bacterial SSU rRNA". It matches the Rfam family "Bacterial small subunit ribosomal RNA", at positions 110 to 878 of the family's 1533-position model. The record is from RNAcentral.